GACGAACGCUGGCGGCGUGCUUAACACAUGCAAGUCGAACGGAAAGGCCCUGCUUUUGUGGGGUGCUCGAGUGGCGAACGGGUGAGUAACACGUGAGUAACCUGCCCUUGACUUUGGGAUAACUUCAGGAAACUGGGGCUAAUACCGGAUAGGAGCUCCUGCUGCAUGGUGGGGGUUGGAAAGUUUCGGCGGUUGGGGAUGGACUCGCGGCUUAUCAGCUUGUUGGUGGGGUAGUGGCUUACCAAGGCUUUGACGGGUAGCCGGCCUGAGAGGGUGACCGGCCAAAUUGGGGCUGGGGUACGGCCCAGACUCCUACGGGAGGCAGCAGUGGGGAAUAUUGCACAAUGGGCGGAAGCCUGAUGCAGCAACGCCGCGUGCGGGAAGACGGCCUUCGGGGUGGAAACCGCUUUCGCCUGUGACGAAGCGUGAGUGACGGUAAUGGGUAAAGAAGCACCGGCUAACUACGUG
RNAcentral lists this ribosomal RNA (468 nucleotides) under uncultured bacterium. Its description in RNAcentral is "partial 16S ribosomal RNA". It matches the Rfam family "Bacterial small subunit ribosomal RNA", at positions 28 to 507 of the family's 1533-position model. The record is from RNAcentral.